Molecule: non-coding RNA, 322 nt
Organism: Paramuricea clavata
Lineage: Eukaryota; Metazoa; Cnidaria; Anthozoa; Malacalcyonacea; Plexauridae
Source: the annotation of a GenBank genome assembly
GUUUUGAUACAUUUUAAUGAUUAUAUGCAAUAAAAAUAGUUAACACCAAGCAGGAGCUUGUGGCUGUCUAAUAGGCAAUUCCAGCUUUUAAUUUAUGUGCGCAGGGGGUGACGGGAAGUAAGGUAUCAUAUUGCUGAUUAUGCUGAAAAAUUUCCAAUAAAAACUGCCGAAACAACCAAAAUAUUUCAAUAUUUACAAGUAUAAACUAUCACUCUGUGUUUACACGGCCGCCAUUUUAAUUUUUCAGCAUAAUCAGCAAUAUGAUACCUUACUUCCCAUCACCCCCUGCACGCAUAAACUAAAAGCUGGAAUUGGCUCUUUA